Molecule: ribosomal RNA, 1273 nt
Filed under: Staphylococcus aureus
Lineage: Bacteria; Bacillati; Bacillota; Bacilli; Caryophanales; Staphylococcaceae
Description: partial 23S ribosomal RNA
Rfam family: Bacterial large subunit ribosomal RNA
Source: RNAcentral
UGUUGGGGUUGUAGGACACUCUAUACGGAGUUACAAAGGACGACAUUAGACGAAUCAUCUGGAAAGAUGAAUCAAAGAAGGUAAUAAUCCUGUAGUCGAAAAUGUUGUCUCUCUUGAGUGGAUCCUGAGUACGACGGAGCACGUGAAAUUCCGUCGGAAUCUGGGAGGACCAUCUCCUAAGGCUAAAUACUCUCUAGUGACCGAUAGUGAACCAGUACCGUGAGGGAAAGGUGAAAAGCACCCCGGAAGGGGAGUGAAAUAGAACCUGAAACCGUGUGCUUACAAGUAGUCAGAGCCCGUUAAUGGGUGAUGGCGUGCCUUUUGUAGAAUGAACCGGCGAGUUACGAUUUGAUGCAAGGUUAAGCAGUAAAUGUGGAGCCGUAGCGAAAGCGAGUCUGAAUAGGGCGUUUAGUAUUUGGUCGUAGACCCGAAACCAGGUGAUCUACCCUUGGUCAGGUUGAAGUUCAGGUAACACUGAAUGGAGGACCGAACCGACUUACGUUGAAAAGUGAGCGGAUGAACUGAGGGUAGCGGAGAAAUUCCAAUCGAACCUGGAGAUAGCUGGUUCUCUCCGAAAUAGCUUUAGGGCUAGCCUCAAGUGAUGAUUAUUGGAGGUAGAGCACUGUUUGGACGAGGGGCCCCUCUCGGGUUACCGAAUUCAGACAAACUCCGAAUGCCAAUUAAUUUAACUUGGGAGUCAGAACAUGGGUGAUAAGGUCCGUGUUCGAAAGGGAAACAGCCCAGACCACCAGCUAAGGUCCCAAAAUAUAUGUUAAGUGGAAAAGGAUGUGGCGUUGCCCAGACAACUAGGAUGUUGGCUUAGAAGCAGCCAUCAUUUAAAGAGUGCGUAAUAGCUCACUAGUCGAGUGACACUGCGCCGAAAAUGUACCGGGGCUAAACAUAUUACCGAAGCUGUGGAUUGUCCUUUGGACAAUGGUAGGAGAGCGUUCUAAGGGCGUUGAAGCAUGAUCGUAAGGACAUGUGGAGCGCUUAGAAGUGAGAAUGCCGGUGUGAGUAGCGAAAGACGGGUGAGAAUCCCGUCCACCGAUUGACUAAGGUUUCCAGAGGAAGGCUCGUCCGCUCUGGGUUAGUCGGGUCCUAAGCUGAGGCCGACAGGCGUAGGCGAUGGAUAACAGGUUGAUAUUCCUGUACCACCUAUAAUCGUUUUAAUCGAUGGGGGGACGCAGUAGGAUAGGCGAAGCGUGCGAUUGGAUUGCACGUCUAAGCAGUAAGGCUGAGUAUUAGGCAAAUCCGGUACUCGUUAAGGCUGAGC